RNAcentral lists this unclassified non-coding RNA (107 nucleotides) under Chryseobacterium balustinum. Its description in RNAcentral is "Flavo-1 RNA". Lineage: Bacteria; Pseudomonadati; Bacteroidota; Flavobacteriia; Flavobacteriales; Weeksellaceae. The record is from RNAcentral.
UCUUAGCCCCGAUUGGAGCAAUUGUUUGAGCUCAUUUUUUUGGAUUCGGCGGCGGCUUUGCCGCCGCCGAAACUAAAAAAUAGCGAGUGCGGAAAGCGGGAUCAAGC